AAGACAGCAACGCAGCUGUAAAACAACAGAUUUCAGUGUCCGCUUUGAGAAACCAAGUUUUCAUUGGUGAAUACUAGCCAGUUACCCAGCAAUAUGACUGCCUGGCACCAAUUCCAUCUGAUAUCAUUUAUAGGAUGCCACUGUACAUGCACUAAAGCUGUUUAUAUAUGUCAUCAUCAUAUUCUCAUCAUGCCCAUAGAGCUCCAGCGUAUUAUUUCCCUUUAAUAAUUGCUGUAAUUAUGCCCAUCUCAUUCUUGGCUUCCAGAAGAAGCUGCCAGUACCCUUCGAGAUCACAAAGAGUGUGAACUGAAUUUCUUCCAAAGCUGCGUUCGUUCCAGCAUCAUGCCAGCUCUGAAAGAUGCCGAGAGAAUUUCCAGCUGAUGCAGCAGCAACAGAGUCAAGAUAAAAAGCAUUUACACUCCAGAUAAAGUUUGCAUCGCAAUGAGCGUGUUAUUAACAGUGCUUGUGAAACUGACAGCCUCUUAGUGAAGGUUCUCAGCCAUGCAAGAGGGUGUCCUCGACGGCUUCUUCCAGGCAGCUCUGCCAAUGCGCCACAAUCCUGACCUACAGCAGCCCCCGCAGUUCCAGUCCUGGGAGCAUGUGAACGAUUAUGAAAUAUGUGACAGAUGUGUGGAGAGAAUAAAUAUACAGGCCAUUCUAGGCUUUUCUGCAGCUCUCAAGACACAAAUGUGGGUCAGAAAUGGCAGGAGAACAAGUUCUACAACCUGGUGAUGGCUGACAAGUCUUGCUUCUACUGAGCAGGAAAUACUGGAAGAAGAGAGUUUCUCACAGGAUUUCAGAAUGUUGGUCCCUGCUCCAGGCAGCAGUUUAGAAGGGCUCACAUGCAUGAAAAAGACGUGAUCAACUUAUCUGAACUGCCUCAAGCCAGAAACAAACUUAGGUGUUGAAGGAACACAAAAUGGACACUGUGCAGAAUCGAGCACGUGGGUUUAUUACGCACAGUGCUGGCAGAGUGUCACCUUGCUUAUUAGGCUCAGACACUGCCAAUCAAUUGA
This is a long non-coding RNA of Chrysemys picta bellii (western painted turtle), 1016 nucleotides long. RefSeq lists it as uncharacterized. NCBI's taxonomy places the organism in Eukaryota, Metazoa, Chordata, Testudines, Emydidae. The record is from RefSeq and is a predicted model, not a curated record.